AGCUCGAUGUGCUGAUCUGAGGUCUUUGUGGAAGGAGUCAGGUUCAAGUAAAGUGCUCCUCCCACUUCUGAUGGCUCAGGGGAGUUAAUGGAAGGAGACUGUAAACCUCCCUGGCUAUUUGAUUGACUGUCAUAGUUCUCACAGAAAUUUGCACUUUGAUAAACUAGGCUAGGAUAGUGCUCACCCAUAAAGCACUUCAGCAAGCUGAAGUGGUUUUAGGGUGUGGAGUGAUCCUUUAAGGAGGACUGCUUUGUGUCUUAUACAAAACUUACAUUUAACUAAAUUGCAGAAAUGAGUAGCUUUGAAUUGUCAGGGAUAUAUUAAUAGUCACAGACAAUGGGGAGAAUUCUAUUUUUUGGAGUCUCUAGCCAUCAGGCUUAAGUAACAAGAAUAUAUUUUGUUGUUGUAGCUGUCUUUUUUGCACUUGUUGUUCUUUAAAAUAGUUUCU
This is a non-coding RNA of Pelobates cultripes (western spadefoot toad), 448 nucleotides long. NCBI's taxonomy places the organism in Eukaryota, Metazoa, Chordata, Amphibia, Anura, Pelobatidae. The record is from the annotation of a GenBank genome assembly.